Molecule: ribosomal RNA, 263 nt
Filed under: uncultured bacterium
Lineage: Bacteria
Description: partial 16S ribosomal RNA
Rfam family: Bacterial small subunit ribosomal RNA
Source: RNAcentral
GUCCACGCCGUAAACGAUGAGUGCUAGGUGUUGCGAGUAUUGACCCUCGCAGUGCCAAAGCUAACGCGUUAAGCACUCCGCCUGGGGAGUACGAUCGCAAGAUUAAAACUACAAAGGAAUUGACGGGGGCCCGCACAAGCGGUGGAGCAUGUGGUUUAAUUCGACGCAACGCGCAGAACCUUACCUGGGUUUGAACUGCAGUAGACCGGUGCAGAGAUGCACUUUCCUUCGGGGCUGCUGUGGAGGUGCUGCAUGGCUGUCGU